GAGAGAGAGAGAGAGAGAGACAAAAUAGGGGAAGGGCAAAAGCAAGAAGCAACUUUAUAAAGUCCAGUUUAUUGUUCUAAGAUCCAAAGUCGUUCCUAGUACUUCAAGUUAAUUCUGCGGCAUAACAAUUAUUUGAAAAGACUCUGGAUUUCCAAACACAGACAACUUCCUGUUAAACAAGAACCACAGAGGAUACAACAAACUAUGAAAUUAAGAUCAUCAGCUAGAGGAUUUCUAGCUUUCCUUCUUUCUCUCCCAGCCCUAUAGGUCCAAACAACUCGGCAAGAGAACAACUGUGGGCGCUGAAGGCUGACGACUGGAUUACCUACCCAUCUAGUAAUGUCUGCGCUCCGAGAGGAUCAACGGUUCACAUCAGCUGCCACUAUGAAUGUCCUAGAAACCCGAACAUCAAUCUCACAGUCAAGGACAAAAAGUGGUUUUCUCAAAGAGAUGUUGAUGUGAAAACAGAUACAGACUAUGCAGGUCGUGUUGAAUACAAAUGCUCCAGGCCCAGCUGUACCAGUCACAUCUGUAAUGCAAACUGUACCCUGAGUAUCAGUGACCUGAGACAGAGUGACUCUAGUGAGUACAAGUUCAGGUUCAAAACAUACCAAGUAGGUAUACUGGAAUAUGCUGCUGGCCUUGGAGUGACGCUAUCUGUGACAGAUCUCGAGGUGAAAGUGUCCUCUCCUAUGCGUAACAAUCCUAGUUGGGUGGUCUUGGAAUGUCACAGUAUGUGUGGUCUAGCUGGUAACCCUACCUACAUCUGGAUCAGGAAUGGUCAGUCAGCAGGAGAAGGAAUGAAGUACCCUGGCAUUGUUUGGUCUCAAUAUAGCUAUUCAUGUGCUGUUAAAGGAUACGAACAUUUCCCCUCUCCUUCAGUGUACGCUCCAAAGACCCCCUCAGUGAUCGUGAGUCCCUCUGGUGAAAUAGUGGAGGGCAGUUCAUUGACUCUGAGCUGCAGCAGUGAUGCCAACCCAGCAGCUGACUACACCUGGUUCAAACAUGGAGACUCAGUGGGACAAUCAGGGCAGAACUACACAAUAACUAAUAUCACAUCUGAGCUUGGAGGAAACUAUUACUGCCAAGCUCAUAAUGCAAUCGGACGUCAUGAUUCUACCUUUUUGUUCAUUAAUUGGAAAGAGAGAUCAUCAUCAUCACAGACAACAGCCAUAGCUGUACGGGCAGUUGCUGUCUUACUGGCCUCCAUACUCCUUCUGGUUGCAAUCCUCUGGAUGAGAAAGAAGGCCUCCAGUAAAGCAUCUCGAAUGGGAACAGAUACCGUAGAUGAGCCACUUUCUGAUCCUGUGUAUGAGAACGUCUUAGCUCUGACCAAUCUCUCAGCUCCUGCAGCACAGAGAGAACCAACAGAGGGAACUCGCUGUGUGGCUGGCUCCCGUGUCCAUUCAGAUCAGAUCUAGGAGGACCUUUACUAUGUGAUCAAGGUCUAAAGACCCAAUGCUGUCCCUGAGUAAGCUUCUCUUGGUAUUUCCCAUAUCCCCUUCCAUGUCUUCUUUUCAGGGACCGCGAUCUGACAGAGACAGAAGGAACCUCUUAGUUGUACAAAACCAUCAAAUAACACCCUUGACUUUGAACCUGUGACGGCAGCAGGAUUUAGAAGGAUAAAGAAUAACUUAUUCAGUUUAAACAGGACAAUACGCUGGCUGAUCGUUUGCUGAAUAUACCUAAAUGUGCUGGCAAAUGCGGAUGAAAAUACAUUAGAUUAAGUGCAUUACACACAAAUACAGAUUGUAUUUAACAGUGUUACCAGAUUGUAUCAAAUGUAGUUUAGUCUGAACUGGGUUCGGAAAACCAUCACAUCCACAGGUUUACCACCAAUGUGGCUCAUUGCGUUGAAAUAUCAUCCACCAUCUAGGCUCCAUCCUUGUAAAAUGUGUUCGGCUGUAUGAAGCUAAACUCCAACUCAAACUGAUGAGAUGAUAAGACAGGUGACUGAGCUGCUGUAAAUAUUUGUAAUACAGUGAUCAGAAGCCAUGUUGGCUAUGUGUAAUGUCAUAAAACCGUAACUGAUUGUUACUUUAACCUUGUAUUAAAAUUUGAGUUUGCAUGAAUCAAUAA
RNA transcript from Gadus morhua (Atlantic cod), 2079 nucleotides. It is a transcript of the gene named carcinoembryonic antigen-related cell adhesion molecule 1, with no coding region annotated. The record is from RefSeq and is a predicted model, not a curated record. NCBI's taxonomy places the organism in Eukaryota, Metazoa, Chordata, Actinopteri, Gadiformes, Gadidae. The transcript is spliced from 9 exons.